Molecule: ribosomal RNA, 2900 nt
Filed under: Klebsiella pneumoniae
Lineage: Bacteria; Pseudomonadati; Pseudomonadota; Gammaproteobacteria; Enterobacterales; Enterobacteriaceae
Description: bacterial LSU rRNA
Rfam family: Bacterial large subunit ribosomal RNA
Source: RNAcentral
UUAAGCGACUAAGCGUACACGGUGGAUGCCCUGGCAGUCAGAGGCGAUGAAGGACGUGCUAAUCUGCGAAAAGCGUCGGUAAGGUGAUAUGAACCGUUAUAACCGGCGAUGUCCGAAUGGGGAAACCCAGUGCAAUUCGUUGCACUAUCGUUAACUGAAUACAUAGGUUAACGAGGCGAACCGGGGGAACUGAAACAUCUAAGUACCCCGAGGAAAAGAAAUCAACCGAGAUUCCCCCAGUAGCGGCGAGCGAACGGGGAGCAGCCCAGAGUCUGAAUCAGCUUGUGUGUUAGUGGAACGGUCUGGAAAGUCCGACGGUACAGGGUGAUAGUCCCGUACACCAAAAUGCACAGGCUGUGAACUCGAAGAGUAGGGCGGGACACGUGGUAUCCUGUCUGAAUAUGGGGGGACCAUCCUCCAAGGCUAAAUACUCCUGACUGACCGAUAGUGAACCAGUACCGUGAGGGAAAGGCGAAAAGAACCCCGGCGAGGGGAGUGAAAAAGAACCUGAAACCGUGUACGUACAAGCAGUGGGAGCACCUUCGGGUGUGACUGCGUACCUUUUGUAUAAUGGGUCAGCGACUUAUAUUCUGUAGCAAGGUUAACCGUAUAGGGGAGCCGCAGGGAAACCGAGUCUUAACUGGGCGUUAAGUUGCAGGGUAUAGACCCGAAACCCGGUGAUCUAGCCAUGGGCAGGUUGAAGGUUGGGUAACACUAACUGGAGGACCGAACCGACUAAUGUUGAAAAAUUAGCGGAUGACUUGUGGCUGGGGGUGAAAGGCCAAUCAAACCGGGAGAUAGCUGGUUCUCCCCGAAAGCUAUUUAGGUAGCGCCUCGUGAAUUCAUCUUCGGGGGUAGAGCACUGUUUCGGCUAGGGGGUCAUCCCGACUUACCAACCCGAUGCAAACUACGAAUACCGAAGAAUGUUAUCACGGGAGACACACGGCGGGUGCUAACGUCCGUCGUGAAGAGGGAAACAACCCAGACCGCCAGCUAAGGUCCCAAAGUCAUGGUUAAGUGGGAAACGAUGUGGGAAGGCACAGACAGCCAGGAUGUUGGCUUAGAAGCAGCCAUCAUUUAAAGAAAGCGUAAUAGCUCACUGGUCGAGUCGGCCUGCGCGGAAGAUGUAACGGGGCUAAACCAUGCACCGAAGCUGCGGCAGCGACACUAUGUGUUGUUGGGUAGGGGAGCGUUCUGUAAGCCUGCGAAGGUGACCUGUGAGGGUUGCUGGAGGUAUCAGAAGUGCGAAUGCUGACAUAAGUAACGAUAAAGCGGGUGAAAAGCCCGCUCGCCGGAAGACCAAGGGUUCCUGUCCAACGUUAAUCGGGGCAGGGUGAGUCGACCCCUAAGGCGAGGCCGAAAGGCGUAGUCGAUGGGAAACAGGUUAAUAUUCCUGUACUUGGUGUUACUGCGAAGGGGGGACGGAGAAGGCUAUGUUAGCCGGGCGACGGUUGUCCCGGUUUAAGCAUGUAGGCUGGUUGUCCAGGCAAAUCCGGAUAAUCAAGGCUGAGGUGUGAUGACGAGGCACUACGGUGCUGAAGUAACAAAUGCCCUGCUUCCAGGAAAAGCCUCUAAGCAUCAGGUAACAUUAAAUCGUACCCCAAACCGACACAGGUGGUCAGGUAGAGAAUACCAAGGCGCUUGAGAGAACUCGGGUGAAGGAACUAGGCAAAAUGGUGCCGUAACUUCGGGAGAAGGCACGCUGGUGUGUAGGUGAAGUCCCUGCGGAUGGAGCUGAGACCAGUCGAAGAUACCAGCUGGCUGCAACUGUUUAUUAAAAACACAGCACUGUGCAAACACGAAAGUGGACGUAUACGGUGUGACGCCUGCCCGGUGCCGGAAGGUUAAUUGAUGGGGUUAUCCGUAAGGAGAAGCUCUUGAUCGAAGCCCCGGUAAACGGCGGCCGUAACUAUAACGGUCCUAAGGUAGCGAAAUUCCUUGUCGGGUAAGUUCCGACCUGCACGAAUGGCGUAAUGAUGGCCAGGCUGUCUCCACCCGAGACUCAGUGAAAUUGAACUCGCUGUGAAGAUGCAGUGUACCCGCGGCAAGACGGAAAGACCCCGUGAACCUUUACUAUAGCUUGACACUGAACAUUGAGCCUUGAUGUGUAGGAUAGGUGGGAGGCUUUGAAGCGUGGACGCCAGUCUGCGUGGAGCCAACCUUGAAAUACCACCCUUUAAUGUUUGAUGUUCUAACGUUGGCCCCUGACCGGGGUUGCGGACAGUGUCUGGUGGGUAGUUUGACUGGGGCGGUCUCCUCCCAAAGCGUAACGGAGGAGCACGAAGGUUAGCUAAUCCUGGUCGGACAUCAGGAGGUUAGUGCAAUGGCAUAAGCUAGCUUGACUGCGAGCGUGACGGCGCGAGCAGGUGCGAAAGCAGGUCAUAGUGAUCCGGUGGUUCUGAAUGGAAGGGCCAUCGCUCAACGGAUAAAAGGUACUCCGGGGAUAACAGGCUGAUACCGCCCAAGAGUUCAUAUCGACGGCGGUGUUUGGCACCUCGAUGUCGGCUCAUCACAUCCUGGGGCUGAAGUAGGUCCCAAGGGUAUGGCUGUUCGCCAUUUAAAGUGGUACGCGAGCUGGGUUUAGAACGUCGUGAGACAGUUCGGUCCCUAUCUGCCGUGGGCGCUGGAGAAUUGAGGGGGGCUGCUCCUAGUACGAGAGGACCGGAGUGGACGCAUCACUGGUGUUCGGGUUGUCAUGCCAAUGGCACUGCCCGGUAGCUAAAUGCGGAAGAGAUAAGUGCUGAAAGCAUCUAAGCACGAAACUUGCCCCGAGAUGAGUUCUCCCUGAGACUUUAAGUCUCCUGAAGGAACGUUGAAGACGAUGACGUUGAUAGGCCGGGUGUGUAAGCGCAGCGAUGCGUUGAGCUAACCGGUACUAAUGAACCGUGAGGCUUAACCUU